AACGAACGCUGGCGGCAUGCCUAACACAUGCAAGUCGAACGAUGCCUUCGGGCAUAGUGGCGCACGGGUGCGUAACGCGUGGGAAUCUGCCUUUCGGUUCGGAAUAACUCAGGGAAACUUGAGCUAAUACCGGAUAACGUCGCAAGACCAAAGAUUUAUCACCGAAAGAUGAGCCCGCGUAGGAUUAGCUAGUUGGUGAGGUAAAGGCUCACCAAGGCGACGAUCCUUAGCUGGUCUGAGAGGAUGAUCAGCCACACUGGGACGGAGACACGGCCCAGACUCCUACGGGAAGCAGCAGUGGGGAAUAUUGGACAAUGGGCGAAGGCCUGAUCCAGCAAUGCCGCGUGAGUGAUGAAGGCCUUAGGGUUGUAAAGCUCUUUUACCCGGGAAGAUAAUGACGGUACCGGGAGAAUAAGCCCCGGCUAACUCCGUG
Molecule: ribosomal RNA, 433 nt
Filed under: uncultured bacterium
Lineage: Bacteria
Description: partial 16S ribosomal RNA
Rfam family: Bacterial small subunit ribosomal RNA
Source: RNAcentral